GAUGAACGUUGGCGGCGUGCCUAAUACAUGCAAGUCGAACGAAGACUGUAGUAAUACUGUCUUAGUGGCGAACGGGUGAGUAACGCGUGGGUGACCUGCCCCGAAGUGUGGGAUAACAAGUCCGAAAGGAUUGCUAAUACUGCAUAAUAUCCAAGAAGAUUAGAUGCUUUUGGAUUAAAGGAGUAAUUCGCUUCGGGAGGGGCCCGCGUCCCAUCAGCUAGUUGGUAAGGUAAUGGCUUACCAAGGCGAUGACGGGUAGGGGACCUGAGAGGGUGGCCCCCCACAAUGGAACUGAAACACGGUCCAUACACCUACGGGUGGCAGCAGUAGGGAAUAUUAGUAAUGGGCGAAAGCCUGAACUAGCAACGCCGCGUGUGCGAAGAAGGCCUUCGGGUCGUAAAGCACUUUUUGAGAGGAUGAGGAAGGACGGUACUCUCAGAAUAAGUCUCGGCUAACUACGUG
Molecule: ribosomal RNA, 462 nt
Filed under: uncultured bacterium
Lineage: Bacteria
Description: bacterial SSU rRNA
Rfam family: Bacterial small subunit ribosomal RNA
Source: RNAcentral